UAGGGAAUCUUCCACAAUGGGCGAAAGCCUGAUGGAGCAACGCCGCGUGUGUGAUGAAGGGUUUCGGCUCGUAAAACACUGCUGUAAGAGAAGAAUGACAUUGAGAGUAACUGUUCAAUGUGUGACGGUAUCUUACCAGAAAGGAACGGCUAAAUACGUGCAG
This 163-nucleotide ribosomal RNA is filed under the name uncultured bacterium. RNAcentral describes it as "partial 16S rRNA". It matches the Rfam family "Bacterial small subunit ribosomal RNA", at positions 355 to 510 of the family's 1533-position model. The record is from RNAcentral.